This 515-nucleotide ribosomal RNA is filed under the name uncultured bacterium. Its description in RNAcentral is "partial 16S ribosomal RNA". It matches the Rfam family "Bacterial small subunit ribosomal RNA", at positions 28 to 523 of the family's 1533-position model. The record is from RNAcentral.
GAUGAACGCUGGCGGCGUGCCUAAUACAUGCAAGUCGAGCGAAUGGAUUAAGAGCUUGCUCUUAUGAAGUUAGCGGCGGACGGGUGAGUAACACGUGGGUAACCUGCCCAUAAGACUGGGAUAACUCCGGGAAACCGGGGCUAAUACCGGACAACAUUUUGAACCGCAUGGUUCGAAAUUGAAAGGCGGCUUCGGCUGUCACUUAUGGAUGGACCCGCGUCGCAUUAGCUAGUUGGUGAGGUAACGGCUCACCAAGGCAACGCUGCGUAGCCGACCGGAGAGGGUGAUCGGCCACACUGGGACUGAGACACGGCCCAGACUCCUACGGGAGGCAGCAGUAGGGAAUCUUCCGCAAUGGACGAAAGUCUGACGGAGCAACGCCGCGUGAGUGAUGAAGGCUUUCGGGUCGUAAAACUCUGUUGUUAGGGAAGAACAAGUGCUAGUUGAAUAAGCUGGCACCUUGACGGUACCUAACCAGAAAGCCACGGCUAACUACGUGCCAGCCGCCGCUGUAA